This 497-nucleotide ribosomal RNA is filed under the name uncultured bacterium. Its description in RNAcentral is "partial 16S ribosomal RNA". It matches the Rfam family "Bacterial small subunit ribosomal RNA", at positions 28 to 507 of the family's 1533-position model. The record is from RNAcentral.
GAUGAACGCUGGCGGCGUGCCUAAUACAUGCAAGUCGAGCGAACAGACGAGGAGCUUGCUCCUCUGACGUUAGCGGCGGACGGGUGAGUAACACGUGGAUAACCUACCUAUAAGACUGGGAUAACUUCGGGAAACCGGAUCUAAUACCGGAUAAUAUAUUGAACCGCAUGGUUGAAUAGUGAAAUACGGUUUUGCUGUCACUUAUAGAUGGAUCCGCGCCGCAUUAGCUAGUUGGUAAGGUAACGGCUUACCAAGGGAACGAUGCGUAACCGACCUGAGAGGGUGAUCGCCCACACUGGAAGUGAGACACGGUCCAGACUCCUACGGGAGGCAGCAGUAGGGAAUGUGCCGCAAUGGGCGAAAGCCUGACGGAGCGACGCCGCGUGAGUGAUGAAGGUCUUCGGAUCGUAAAACUCUGUUAUUAGGGAAGAACAAAUGUGUAAGUAACUAUGCACGUCUUGACGGUACCUAAUCAGAAAGCAACGGCUAACUACGUG